UUACUGCUUUGUGGGUUCCUAUGUGCAUGAUAUAUGUGUUGUUCAAUUAUACAGAUGAUAAAGAAAUUCUGUAGACCAGAAAGAGCUAAAGCAGAGUUUCAUAAAGUUUGUUUCCUGCAACCUGCUCUAGGAAAAUAAAUGGUAUUACCCAAAACUAUGUGCUAAAAAAGGAUAUCAUAGCUCUAUCUUAGACAAUCAUUAUAUGUAUACCAUAUUAACAGCUAUGAGAAGUCCUAUAAUUAAAAAGAGGAUGCUUACUUUGCUUAACAAAACCAUUUUUCAAAUAUAUAAUUUUAUAACAUACCCUGAAAAAUGUGAACUGACACA
This 327-nucleotide long non-coding RNA is filed under the name Bos taurus (domestic cattle). RNAcentral describes it as "long non-coding RNA NONBTAT011204". Lineage: Eukaryota; Metazoa; Chordata; Mammalia; Artiodactyla; Bovidae. The record is from RNAcentral.